AUGGGGAUGCAGGCUCUGAUGGAUGUUCGGUGCAAGAAUCUAGUGAACCCUGUAUGUGACUGGCUCGAUGAGAUUUACGAGCCCGCCUCCAGGGAAUUUGUGAUUCCGGGAUGUGGAAGACUGCCAUUGGACGAGGAAUCCGUGUUCGGCACUUUGGGUGUGCCCCGUGGAGAAAUCAAAGUCCCGUAUGAGGUCAAUAAUAAGAUUGAGGAAAUGUUGUUUGCCCGUUUGUUUCCUGGGACGGCAACCAUGCCGAACAUGACUGUGUUGGCAAAUUCGCUGCAGGCCAUGACAACCCAUGGCGAGGUUUUUAAGAUGAAGCUACUCAUGUACCUGAUCUCAGUUGUUUUUGCGCCGACCACAUCUCUUCGCCCAAGCAACAAAUGCUUCCCCAUCCUGGCAAAACUGAAAGAUGUGAAGAACAUGAAUUGGUGUAAGUUCAUUGCGGACUUCCUGCAUGAUGCAUUCUCAAACAAGAUGUACCAGAAGGGUUGUCGACUCCAUUUAAUGCUCAUGUACGUCGAUCGUCUUGAUCUGUCCACCGUUGACUUUACUGGGGUAGGAGGUCGGCCACCUCCACAUAAGUUUGAUGUCUCUGCGUGGACGUACGGUGCUGUCAAAGCUGUGCUUGCCGCAAACAAGAUAACUGAUACUAAAUAUGGGAAACUGCAGCUGAUGGCCAAGCAUGCUAUAGACUACAGCGUGUUUGGUGGGCCUCAAAACUUUGGGAAGUGGAUGGACGUGCACUCAGCUCCAUCUUGUCCUGCAGAGGCGAGGGCAUCUGUUGAGCAUCUAAUUGGGCAGUUUGUAUCCGGAAUGACCAGCUUGCUCGGGAAGUUAGUUGAGGGUUGGACGACCCUUAAUGGCUCUGACAGCGACGCGGUUGCGAGGCAGUUCACUCCAUUUGUUGCAGAACGGACACAUCGGCCAACUGGUUGCCGUGGUCGGUACGACUACAACAGCUCGCAGGAGCUUCCUGACACACAAGAUGAACUAGAUGGAGAUGCUGUUCUCGACAAGGAUGAUGACGAUGACAUGGAGAACGUGCAACACGACACCGACGAUGAUGAACAUGUUGAAGUUCGUGCAUGUGGUAAGAAGGGCAAGGUUGCACCAGAUGUCCCCUCACCGGAGAAAGUC
Molecule: ribosomal RNA, 1140 nt
Filed under: Triticum aestivum (bread wheat)
Lineage: Eukaryota; Viridiplantae; Streptophyta; Magnoliopsida; Poales; Poaceae
Description: partial small subunit ribosomal RNA
Source: RNAcentral